This 657-nucleotide ribosomal RNA is filed under the name Triticum aestivum (bread wheat). RNAcentral's name for it is "partial small subunit ribosomal RNA". The record is from RNAcentral. Lineage: Eukaryota; Viridiplantae; Streptophyta; Magnoliopsida; Poales; Poaceae.
AUGACUGGUCACACGAUCACGUUCUCCAUGUGUAGGUGCUCUUCAGUAGCGCUAUGUGUGCUCCUUGCCACCAGCUGCCUCAUGCUAGCCGGCUGCUCCUCUGAGUCGUUGCCGACGAGCGAUGAUCUUCCCCGUGACCGUGAGCGCUCCGACAUCGGCACCGACGACCACCAUGGUCUGAUGAUGGGCCGUUUCCAUGUGUGGAUGACGGCGCAAAACAGAUCCUACUCCACCUCCGAUGAGAAGGCUCGCCGGUUUGAGGUAUACAAGAGCAACAUGAGGUACAUAGAGGCUGUGAAUGCCGAGGCCACCACCUCUGGGCUCACGUACGAGCUUGGGGAGGGUCCCUUCACUGACCUUACAGAUGAAGAGUUCAUGGCGCUUUAUACCAGGCAGAUUCUGGAAGAUGACGAGCAGAUUAUCACCACCCAUGUUGGCCCUGUCAAUGGCGCGGGCACAUAUGAGGGUGUCGCGUGUAUGCCAACUUCUCAGCCAGGGCGCCGAGUAGCGUGGACUGGAGGAAGAGAGGCACCAUCACCCCGGUUAACGACCAAGGGAAAUGCGGAUCUUGCUGGGCAUUCGCCGCCGUGGGUGCAAUCGAAGGACUACACAAGUUCAGGAGAGGGACCCUGGUGUCUCUGUCGGAGCAACAGCUAG